This 497-nucleotide ribosomal RNA is filed under the name uncultured bacterium. RNAcentral's name for it is "partial 16S ribosomal RNA". It matches the Rfam family "Bacterial small subunit ribosomal RNA", at positions 28 to 523 of the family's 1533-position model. The record is from RNAcentral.
GAUGAACGCUGGCGGCGUGCUUAACACAUGCAAGUCGAACGAAGCACUUUAAUCGAUUUCUUCGGAUUGAAAUUUUAGUGACUGAGUGGCGGACGGGUGAGUAACGCGUGGGUAACCUGCCUCACACAGGGGGAUAACAGUUGGAAACGGCUGCUAAUACCGCAUAAGCGCACAGUACCGCAUGGUACGGUGUGAAAAACUCCGGUGGUGUGAGAUGGACCCGCGUCUGAUUAGCUAGUUGGCAGGGCAGCGGCCUACCAAGGCGACGAUCAGUAGCCGACCUGAGAGAGUGACCGGCCACAUUGGGACUGAGACACGGCCCAAACUCCUACGGGAGGCAGCAGUGGGGAAUAUUGCACAAUGGGGGAAACCCUGAUGCAGCGACGCCGCGUGAGCGAAGGAGUAUUUCGGUAUGUAAAGCUCUAUCAGCAGGGAAGAAGAAAUGACGGUACCUGACUAAGAAGCACCGGCUAAAUACGUGCCAGCAGCCGCAGUAA